UACGAAGGGGGCUAGCGUUGUUCGGAAUUACUGGGCGUAAAGGGUUUGUAGGCGGUUAUAUAAGCCAGUGGUGAAAGCCCGGGGCUCAACCCCGGAAUUGCCAUUGGAACUGUAUAGCUAGAGAGUGUUAGAGGAAAGUGGAAUGGCUAGUGUAGGAGUGAAAUCCGUAGAGAUUAGUCGGAAUAUCGAUGGCGAAGGCAGCUUUCUGGGACAUUUCUGACGCUGAGAAACGAAAGCGUGGGUAGCAAACAGG
This 253-nucleotide ribosomal RNA is filed under the name uncultured bacterium. RNAcentral's name for it is "partial 16S ribosomal RNA". It matches the Rfam family "Bacterial small subunit ribosomal RNA", at positions 524 to 776 of the family's 1533-position model. The record is from RNAcentral.